AGGGGGUUAUAAGACCUGCUAACUCUUUAAUCUGGGAGUAACCCCCAGCCCCCUC
RNAcentral lists this transfer RNA (55 nucleotides) under Rhadinaea montana. RNAcentral describes it as "tRNA-Ser". The record is from RNAcentral. Lineage: Eukaryota; Metazoa; Chordata; Lepidosauria; Squamata; Dipsadidae.